GUGCUCAUUUUAGCAGCACAUAUACUAAAUUGGAAUGACACAGAGAUCAGCAUGGCCCCUGCUCAAGGAGACACACAAAUUCAUGAAAUGUCCCAUAUUUAG
RNAcentral lists this small nuclear RNA (102 nucleotides) under Neotoma lepida (desert woodrat). The record is from RNAcentral. Lineage: Eukaryota; Metazoa; Chordata; Mammalia; Rodentia; Cricetidae.